Molecule: ribosomal RNA, 120 nt
Filed under: Ranunculus muricatus
Lineage: Eukaryota; Viridiplantae; Streptophyta; Magnoliopsida; Ranunculales; Ranunculaceae
Also listed under: 3 other names
Description: 5.8S ribosomal RNA
Rfam family: 5.8S ribosomal RNA
About the family: 5.8S ribosomal RNA (5.8S rRNA) is a component of the large subunit of the eukaryotic ribosome. It is transcribed by RNA polymerase I as part of the 45S precursor that also contains 18S and 28S rRNA.
Source: RNAcentral
CGAAAUGCGAUACUUGGUGUGAAUUGCAGAAUCCCGUGAACCAUCGAGUUUUUGAACGCAAGUUGCGCCCGAGACCUUUAGGUUGAGGGCACGUCUGCCUGGGCGUCACACACAGCGUCG